RNAcentral lists this ribosomal RNA (433 nucleotides) under uncultured bacterium. RNAcentral describes it as "partial 16S ribosomal RNA". It matches the Rfam family "Bacterial small subunit ribosomal RNA", at positions 29 to 507 of the family's 1533-position model. The record is from RNAcentral.
AGCGAACGCUGGCGGCAGGCUUAACACAUGCAAGUCGAGCGGCCACUUCGGUGUCAGCGGCAGACGGGUGAGUAACACGUGGGAACGUACCCUUCGGUUCGGAAUAACGCUGGGAAACUAGCGCUAAUACCGGAUACGCCCUUUUGGGGAAAGGUUUACUGCCGAAGGAUCGGCCCGCGUCUGAUUAGCUAGUUGGUGGGGUAAUGGCCUACCAAGGCGACGAUCAGUAGCUGGUCUGAGAGGAUGAGCCGCCACACUGGGACUGAGACACGGCCCAGACUCCUACGGGAGGCAGCAGUGGGGAAUAUUGGACAAUGGGCGCAAGCCUGAUCCAGCCAUGCCGCGUGAGUGAUGAAGGCCUUAGGGUUGUAAAGCUCUUUUGUCCGGGACGAUAAUGACGGUACCGGAAGAAUAAGCCCCGGCUAACUUCGUG